RNAcentral lists this ribosomal RNA (253 nucleotides) under uncultured bacterium. RNAcentral describes it as "partial 16S ribosomal RNA". It matches the Rfam family "Bacterial small subunit ribosomal RNA", at positions 524 to 776 of the family's 1533-position model. The record is from RNAcentral.
UACAGAGGUCCCAAGCGUUGUUCGGAUUCACUGGGCGUAAAGGGUGCGUAGGUGGUGGGGUAAGUCGGAUGUGAAAGCUCGGAGCUCAACUCCGAAAUGGCAUUGGAAACUACCCUGCUAGAGGAUUGGAGGGGGGACUGGAAUUCAUGGUGUAGCAGUGAAAUGCGUAGAGAUCAUGAGGAAGACCAGUGGCGAAGGCGGGUCUCUGGACAGUUCCUGACACUGAGGCACGAAGGCCAGGGGAGCAAACGGG